UCAAAUUUAUAUGCAAAUGCAAGUCGUUGGAAAGAUGUGGCUAGGAUCAGAUCAUUGAUGAGACAUAAUGGAAUUAAAAAAAGACCUGGUUGUAGUUGGGUCGAAGGAAUUAAAGGAACUACUACGUUCUUUGUUGGUGAUAAAACUCAUCCAUACACUAAGGAAAUAUACCAGGUCCUCUCAGAUUAUAUGCAACGCAUCAAGGAUAUUGGUUAUGUUCCUGAAACAGGCUUUGCUCUUCAUGAUGUAGACGAUGAAGAGAAAGAUGAUCUUCUUUUGGAGCAUAGUGAGAAGUUGGCUCUUGCAUACGGUAUUUUAACAACUCCUCAAGGUGCUGCUAUCAGGAUUACUAAGAAUUUACGGGUAUGUGGUGAUUGCCAUACUGCAUUCACAUACAUGUCCAGAAUCAUUGAUCAUGAGAUUAUAUUGAGGGACUCUAGUCGCUUCCAUCAUUUCAAUAAUGGGCUGUGUUCCUGCAAAGGUUUCUGGUGAUGAUGCUUUCUCUAUGCACUCCACCAAACAGUAGGAUCGUAAGAGGUCAGUUCAUUAUUCACUGAAACAGAAACAAUAGUUUUGAUUUGCACAUUCUGGUCUGACGAUAUCAAGUUAGCAAUUAUUGAAUCAGCACAUCAGUUUAUAUCUGGACCUGUCAACUACAUAUCAAUAGCAGUGCCAUAAUGCUAAGCUUGGCAGAUAGGUACAAAGCCAGAAAACAAUCACCAAACAGGCUUCGAAAGCAACCUGAGUGAAACCAUACAUUCAGGGUUUUCACAUGGUUACUGCAGAUUUCAGGAACGAUCUCUUGUUAACAGACAAAGAAAAGGAUCAUAAGCACUGUCUUAUAGACCUCAUGUAGAUUGUAUAUUUAAGCAAAUUUUGUAGAUGAAUAGUUCUUCUUUAUUUGUGCUGAAGAAUACAAAAUCACACUCCAUACCAUUAGUGUGUUCAUAAUAAAACAAGAUUUUUUGUUGCA
Camelina sativa (false flax) is the source of this 973-nucleotide non-coding RNA. NCBI's taxonomy places the organism in Eukaryota, Viridiplantae, Streptophyta, Magnoliopsida, Brassicales, Brassicaceae. The record is from RefSeq and is a predicted model, not a curated record.